GACAGAGGGUGCAAACGUUGUUCGGAAUUACUGGGCGUAAAGCGCGUGUAGGCUGCUCGGAAAGUCGGGUGUGAAAGCCCAGGGCUCAACCCUGGAAGUGCACUCGAAACUCCCGAGCUUGAGUUCCGGAGAGGACGGCGGAAUUCUCGGUGUAGAGGUGAAAUUCGUAGAUAUCGAGAGGAACACCGGUGGCGAAGGCGGCCGUCUGGACGAAAACUGACGCUGAGACGCGAAAGCGUGGGGAGCAAACAGGAUUAGAUACCCUGGUAGUCCACGCCGUAAACGAUGGGUGCUAGGUGUCGCGGGCUUUGACCCCUGCGGUGCCGCAGCUAACGCAUUAAGCACCCCGCCUGGGGAGUACGGCCGCAAGGCUAAA
Molecule: ribosomal RNA, 376 nt
Filed under: uncultured bacterium
Lineage: Bacteria
Description: bacterial SSU rRNA
Rfam family: Bacterial small subunit ribosomal RNA
Source: RNAcentral